UAGUUACUCACUGCAAACUGCACCAAG
This 27-nucleotide non-coding RNA is filed under the name Mus musculus (house mouse). The record is from RNAcentral. Lineage: Eukaryota; Metazoa; Chordata; Mammalia; Rodentia; Muridae.